RNAcentral lists this ribosomal RNA (425 nucleotides) under uncultured bacterium. RNAcentral describes it as "partial 16S ribosomal RNA". It matches the Rfam family "Bacterial small subunit ribosomal RNA", at positions 354 to 796 of the family's 1533-position model. The record is from RNAcentral.
GUGGGGAAUCUUGCGCAAUGGGCGAAAGCCUGACGCAGCCAUGCCGCGUGAAUGAUGAAGGUCUUAGGAUUGUAAAAUUCUUUCACCGGGGACGAUAAUGACGGUACCCGGAGAAGAAGCCCCGGCUAACUUCGUGCCAGCAGCCGCGGUAAUACGAAGGGGGCUAGCGUUGCUCGGAAUUACUGGGCGUAAAGGGCGCGUAGGCGGACAGUUUAGUCAGAGGUGAAAGCCCAGGGCCCAACCUUGGAAUUGCCUUUGAUACUGGCUGUCUUGAGUACGGGAGAGGUGAGUGGAACUCCGAGUGUAGAGGUGAAAUUCGUAGAUAUUCGGAAGAACACCAGUGGCGAAGGCGACUCACUGGCCCGUUACUGACGCUGAGGCGCGAAAGCGUGGGGAGCAAACAGGAUUAGAUACCCUAGUAGUCC